AAGUCGUAACAAGGUCUCCGUAGGUGAACCUGCGGAGGGAUCAUUACCGAGAGAGGGUGCUUCGGCGCCCGACCUCCCAACCCUUUGUUUGACCAAAACCAUGUUGCCUCGGGGGACGACCCGGUCGCCCCCGGUGGACCAACCUCAAAACUCUGCAUCUUUGCGUCGGAGUACAAAAGUUAAAUCGUUAAAACUUUCAACAACGGAUCUCUUGGUUCUC
This 220-nucleotide unclassified non-coding RNA is filed under the name fungal sp. Its description in RNAcentral is "partial internal transcribed spacer region". The stretch from base 1 to 46 matches the Rfam family "Eukaryotic small subunit ribosomal RNA", at positions 1786 to 1831 of the family's 1831-position model. The record is from RNAcentral. Lineage: Eukaryota; Fungi.